This 67-nucleotide transfer RNA is filed under the name Scarabaeidae sp. BMNH 1274752. RNAcentral's name for it is "tRNA-His". The record is from RNAcentral. Lineage: Eukaryota; Metazoa; Arthropoda; Insecta; Coleoptera; Scarabaeidae.
AUUUAAGUAGUUUAAGUUAAAAUGUUGAUUUGUGGGAUCAAUGAUAUAUUAUAUAAUGUCUUAGAUA